This 465-nucleotide ribosomal RNA is filed under the name Vreelandella stevensii. RNAcentral describes it as "partial 16S ribosomal RNA". It matches the Rfam family "Bacterial small subunit ribosomal RNA", at positions 338 to 795 of the family's 1533-position model. The record is from RNAcentral. Lineage: Bacteria; Pseudomonadati; Pseudomonadota; Gammaproteobacteria; Oceanospirillales; Halomonadaceae.
CCUACGGGUGGCAGCAGUGGGGAAUAUUGGACAAUGGGGGCAACCCUGAUCCAGCCAUGCCGCGUGUGUGAAGAAGGCCCUCAGGUUGUAAAGCACUUUCAGUGAGGAAGAACGCCUGGUGGUUAAUACCCAUCAGGAAAGACAUCACUCACAGAAGAAGCACCGGCUAACUCCGUGCCAGCAGCCGCGGUAAUACGGAGGGUGCGAGCGUUAAUCGGAAUUACUGGGCGUAAAGCGCGCGUAGGUGGCUUGAUAAGCCGGUUGUGAAAGCCCCGGGCUCAACCUGGGAACGGCAUCCGGAACUGUCAAGCUAGAGUGCAGGAGAGGAAGGUAGAAUUCCCGGUGUAGCGGUGAAAUGCGUAGAGAUCGGGAGGAAUACCAGUGGCGAAGGCGGCCUUCUGGACUGACACUGACACUGAGGUGCGAAAGCGUGGGUAGCAAACAGGAUUAGAUACCCGUGUAGUC